Molecule: ribosomal RNA, 449 nt
Filed under: Plagiochaeta sylvestris
Lineage: Eukaryota; Metazoa; Annelida; Clitellata; Crassiclitellata; Acanthodrilidae
Description: partial 16S ribosomal RNA
Rfam family: Bacterial large subunit ribosomal RNA
Source: RNAcentral
CUGCCCAGUGACUAAUGUUAAACGGCCGCGGUAUCCUAACCGUGCAAAGGUAGCAUAAUCACUUGCCCAUUAAUUGUGGGCUAGAAUGAACGGAUAUACGAAAUAUAGACUGUCUAUAUCAAUUCACUAAAAAUUAAAAUUUGUAUGAAGAUUUACAAAUAAAUUUGUAGGACAAGAAGACCCUAUAGAGCUUAAAUUUAAUUAUAGGUUUGACUAUUAAAUAAUUUCGGUUGGGGCGACUAUGGAUAUUAAAAAACACCUACAAUAAAAAAGAUUUUAAAUCAAAGUGACCCUUUUCAGAUCUAAAAAACAAGCUACCUUAGGGAUAACAGGCUAAUUUAAUUAAAGAGUUCAUAUCUACAAUUAAGAUUGGCACCUCGAUGUUGGCUUAGGGCUUCAGUAUGUCGCAAAAGAUGUAAUAAGAUGGUUUGUUCAACCAUUAAAUCCCU